RNAcentral lists this ribosomal RNA (459 nucleotides) under uncultured bacterium. RNAcentral describes it as "partial 16S ribosomal RNA". It matches the Rfam family "Bacterial small subunit ribosomal RNA", at positions 339 to 795 of the family's 1533-position model. The record is from RNAcentral.
CUACGGGAGGCACCAGUAAGGAAUAUUGCGCAAUGGAGGCAACUCUGACGCAGCCAUGCCGCGUGCAGGAAGAAGGCCUUAUGGGUCGUAAACUGCUUUUAUUUAGGAAUAAACCCUCGCUCGUGAGCGAGGCUGAAGGUACUGAAUGAAUAAGCACCGGCUAACGGCGUGCCAGCAGCCGCGGUAAUACGGAGGGUGCAAGCGUUAUCCGGAUUUAUUGGGUUUAAAGGGUGCGCAGGCGGGCUAUUAAGUCAGUGGUGAAAUCCCGGGGCUCAACUCCGGAACUGCCAUUGAUACUGAUAGUCUUGAGUUUGGUUGAAGUGGGCGGAAUGUAGCAUGUAGCGGUGAAAUGCAUAGAUAUGCUACAGAACACCAAUCGCGAAGGCAGCUCACUAAGCCAAAACUGACGCUCAUGCACGAAAGCGUGGGGAUCAAACAGGAUUAGAUACCCUAGUAGUC